GACAUAUUAUUCAAUAUUUUGGAUUGAUGGAAGUCAUUGGAGGCCGUUUGGUUUGUGUUCUAGAAGUGCAAAGUUGGGAAACUUUAUGUUAGCGAGGUAAGUGAGACUUUAUACUUUGAUACUUGCUUUUCUAAAAUCUAUUUUCAAAAGUCUAUUUUUCUGCCUGGUUCAUGUGUUGCGACAAGCGUGAACUUGGCAGAGUCGGUGGGCUUAGACUAGCUGCAUAUAUAUUAUUUUAUGGAAAAAAUAUUAUUUUAUAAGUUGUUUGAUAGUGUGAUACGGCUGUGUGCCAUGAGGUUGAGUUUUAUAGUUUGAUACGGCUGUGCGCCAUGAUAUUGAGUUUGACACGACUGUGCGCCAUGAUAUUGAGUUUGAUACGGCUGUGCGCCAUGAUAUUGAGUUUGAUACGGCUGUGAGCCAUGAUAUUGAGUUUGAUAUAGUUGUGCUCUGUGAUGUUGAGUUUGAUACGGUUGUGCGCCAUGAUAUUGGGGUAUUGUGUAAGCCUUUGUAUAUCACCCGAGCAUUGUGUAUAUUCUGUUACAUAUUUGAGACAUUGUGGUGCCAUUGUGGACUCGUAGAUGUGCUUUGUAAAUUUCUUUCACUACAAUUAUGAUAAGUCCUUAGUGAGUAUUCUUGUUGGUUAAUUCUUAAUAACCCUGUUGAUACACAUAUAUUGAGUUAUUGUAUAAUUACUAUGUUUACUAUAUCAUUCAUGUGUAGUGUGUUUGUAUUUUCUAACACUUAUUCCAAAGGUAUUUAAGUGGCAGGUCGAAGAUCUUACUGGGUUAUAUUUAUGUAUAACUCACUCCUUACAUGUAUCUCUAUGCAGAUACCGUUGCGGGAGAUUGAGUUAGUGGCUGACGAGUUUGUUUGAGUAGAUCUUAUUGCUGAGGUAAGCCACCGCAUUAUUUGUGGAGGCUUUCGUUUCAGACUUUCUUAGUUUGUAUUAGUUAUAUUCCUUUUUUUGGGGGUUUACAUACCCGUCAAUAAAACCCAUAUUACCCUGUUAGAUGCUCUAUGGUCCUAGUGUGAGAUUUGGGCUUGAUUUUUACUAUUUAAGUGAUCGUUGGUUCUUCUACCAGUUGACUAAAGUAUUGGGCGAUAAUCAUUACCUCUUUAAUUAUCAAUAAUACUUUAGGCCUGCAUUGGUUUCUCUCUCUCAGUGUUUGUGUAAAUGGUUAAACAUUAGAGUGCCUGGCAGGUGGUAUUAGCUGGGGGCCAAUCAUGUAUAGGGGGUAGUUUUGGACGUGACAUGUCCCAAGCAACUUGUUCGUUCCAUCUGAACCAAAAUUCCCUAAAAUUUCCUUGGGUUUCUUUUCUAUAUGAGAUAAGGAGGAGCAGUCUGGGACUAUGUCUAUAUUGUACUGAAAGUGUCGCACAAAUAUU
This 1386-nucleotide long non-coding RNA is filed under the name Nicotiana benthamiana. Its description in RNAcentral is "long non-coding RNA (NBEN_LNC002995)". Lineage: Eukaryota; Viridiplantae; Streptophyta; Magnoliopsida; Solanales; Solanaceae. The record is from RNAcentral.